AGCAGCCGCGGUAAUUCCAGCUCCAAUAGCGUAUAUUAAAGUUGUUGCAGUUAAAAAGCUCGUAGUUGAAUUUCGGGAUUGACACAUCGGUCGUGCCUUAAGGGGUAUGAACUGGUGUAGUCAAUUUCUCACCUUCUGGAGAACCGCGAUGUCCUUAAUUGGGUGCCGCGGGGAACCAGGACCUUUACUUUGAAAAAUUAGAGUGUUUAAAGCAGGCAUUUUGCUUGAAUACAUUAGCAUGGAAUAAUAAAAUAGGACGGAUGAUUCUAUUUUGUUGGUUUCUAGGACCACCGUAAUGAUUAAUAGGGAUAGUUGGGGGCAUUAGUAUUCAAUUGUCAGAGGUGAAAUUCUUGGAUUUAUUGAAGACUAACUACUGCGAAAGCAUUUGCCAAGGAUGUUUUCAUUAAUCAAGAACGAAAGUUAGGGGAUCGAAGACGAUCAGAUACCGUCGUAGUCUUAACCAUAAACUAUGCCGACUAGGAAUCAGACGAUGUUAAUUUUUUAAUGACUCGUUUUGGCA
This 520-nucleotide ribosomal RNA is filed under the name uncultured Entrophospora. RNAcentral describes it as "SSU rRNA". It matches the Rfam family "Eukaryotic small subunit ribosomal RNA", at positions 569 to 1085 of the family's 1831-position model. The record is from RNAcentral. Lineage: Eukaryota; Fungi; Glomeromycota; Glomeromycetes; Entrophosporales; Entrophosporaceae.